RNAcentral lists this ribosomal RNA (463 nucleotides) under uncultured bacterium. RNAcentral describes it as "bacterial SSU rRNA". It matches the Rfam family "Bacterial small subunit ribosomal RNA", at positions 339 to 794 of the family's 1533-position model. The record is from RNAcentral.
UUACGGGAGGCAGCAGUGGGGAAUUUUGGACAAUGGGCGAAAGCCUGAUCCAGCAAUGCCGCGUGAGUGAAGAAGGCCUUCGGGUUGUAAAGCUCUUUUGUCAGGGAAGAAACGGUCUGGGCUAAUAUCCUGGGCUAAUGACGGUACCUGAAGAAUAAGCACCGGCUAACUACGUGCCAGCAGCCGCGGUAAUACGUAGGGUGCAAGCGUUAAUCGGAAUUACUGGGCGUAAAGCGUGCGCAGGCGGUUUUGUAAGUCUGACGUGAAAUCCCCGGGCUCAACCUGGGAAUUGCGUUGGAGACUGCAAGGCUAGAAUCUGGCAGAGGGGGGUAGAAUUCCACGUGUAGCAGUGAAAUGCGUAGAGAUGUGGAGGAACACCGAUGGCGAAGGCAGCCCCCUGGGUCAAGAUUGACGCUCAUGCACGAAAGCGUGGGGAGCAAACAGGAUUAGAUACCCUGGUAGG